This is a non-coding RNA of Sphingomonas sp. LM7, 96 nucleotides long. The record is from Rfam. NCBI's taxonomy places the organism in Bacteria, Pseudomonadati, Pseudomonadota, Alphaproteobacteria, Sphingomonadales, Sphingomonadaceae.
UAGGCACGCGCGGGAGAGUGGUGGUCCUUCGAGGGCCACCCGCCGAAGGAGCAACCGCCCCGGAAUCUCUCAGGCAUCAGGGACCGCGCGUGCAGU